UUUAAUUUUGUUUUGUUUUGUUUUUUUUUUUUAUUUUUUUUAUUUGGGGCGUUAAUCCAGGUAAUUUUUUUAAUUCCAGUUUGUGCGGUAGUUGGAAUCGUUUUCUCUUUAACUCAAUGGUACAUUGUUUCACAGGUUAAGCUUUCCCCUGAUUAUGUGCGUGCUAACAAUAAUAAGAAUGGAUACUUUGAGAGUUUGAUUGAAGAAGAAGGUCUUAAUGACCCAGGCAUUAUUGCAUAAUGUACUGAGAUCCAGAAUGCUAUUUCUAAAGGUUCGAGACAUCAAAGCCCUAUACUUGUUCCACAAUCGGCCUGCUUGGCCCUAGUUUGUGACAGCUGCAUUUUGUCAUGCAAAUUGGUAAGGUUCCACAACUAUUAUGCACUAAUGAGUACUUGAUCGAGUAGAGUGCAGCGCAUAAGAACUAUUGCAUAAGUUAGGAGAGAGCGCAGCCUCAAUUGUAUGGUACAUCUAAAAGUCCUAUUCUCCUAAAUUUGCAAAUUGCAGCCAUUUAAAAUUCAUAUUUUACAAAUUGCAGCCAUUUUAAUUUUUUUUUUGCAAAUUGCAGCACAAAAGUUCGUAUAAACUGUAAAUUCUAGCCCAAUUCAAUUUUUACAUCGAUUUACACGUCAAAAAAUUUUCGGUUAAGGUUUUAGGGCCAUUUUAGCCCUUGUAAUUCUGAAUUGAGCUCGAAAUUAGCAAAAAAAAAUAACAUAAGUGUCUCGUUUUGUGUAACAAAAAUAUAUCGAUUUGUGGGAAACUGUAAAAAUGAGACACUUCCAUUAUUUUUUUGCUAAUUCUGAGUUCAAUUCAGAUCCUUAAGGACUAAAAUGGCCUCUAAAACCUUAGAUGAAGAUUUUUUGACAUGUUAACCGAUAAAAAAGUUGAAUUGGGCUGCAAUUUACAAUUUAUACGAACUUUUGGGCUGCAAUCUGCAAAAAAAAAUAAAAUUAAAUGGCUGUACUUUGCAAAAUAAGAAUUUUAAAUGACUGCAAUUUGUAAAUUUAUUCCAAAAAAAAAAAAUAUUUUGUUCAGGCUCAUCAAUAGUGCAAAACCCACGUCCUAGUCUUGUCUUUAAGUAAAUUUUAGCUGCUGCUGUCAUUUGCAGGAACCAUGUUUCCAGCAAUUUGUUCUUUAUUUACAUUUUCCGUAAGACAAUUUGUUUCUGUUGAAUUUGGAAUGCGGUCUGAACGCCUCGUUCUUGGAUAAUAUGAAAAUUGGAGUGGCUAUCCACUAUAUGUGUAGGGAAGCUCGUGGAAGAGGAAGAAGGUAGCUUUGCAUUGUGGCUUUCCACUAUAAGAUUCUUUUUUCUUAAUUGUGAAUGUUAUGUAACAUAAUAAUUCAAAAUGCUUAUUGUUUUUUUUUUUUUAGGAUCGGGAGGGAAACUCUAACCACUUGAGCUAUCCCUCAUUAUCUCAAAAUGCUUAUAUUGUGGUUAUGAACUCUUGGUCUCUUUGUAAACACUACAACUGUCAUUGAUUAGUGUACUAACUAGCAAAUGGUUUCCAAUUUACAAGUAUAAUAUUAUAUUCUUAGGUAAAAGUAAUUUCAUUAUCUUAUCUUUUAUGAACGUCAUUUUGUCAUAGAUUCUAUUAGGAAUUUGAAUUCAAAGUUCGAUCUCAAAAUAUCAAAUAUUAAGAAACGGAGGUUGAAAUAUCUUGUAUAAAUAAAUAAAAAAUAUAGUUAUCCUUGUCUUCCCAUGAUACUCCAAAAUACUGGUCUUGUUCAAUAGUCUUUUGGUUGCUUAUCAAUUGUUUUCCUCUUUCUAGGGUCUGGCACUACCAACAAUUAUUGGAGGUAACUUGAAGAUGGUGUUUGGAGGCAGCCUCGGAUUUGAGAUCAAAGUUGCAGCUAUUUGGAAAAAUGGUGGAAGAUGUAAACUAUUCAACACACUAAUUUAGAGGAAAAUAAUUUAAAUCUGAUAGUAGUCUUAAGUAAACUUGUAUUAUUAUUAAUACAAUUGUGCAAGCUAGCUAGCUGUCAUGCAGCAUGUGCUAGAUAUUUUUUUUAA
Chenopodium quinoa (quinoa) is the source of this 2008-nucleotide long non-coding RNA. RefSeq lists it as uncharacterized. NCBI's taxonomy places the organism in Eukaryota, Viridiplantae, Streptophyta, Magnoliopsida, Caryophyllales, Amaranthaceae. The transcript has 2 exons. The record is from RefSeq and is a predicted model, not a curated record.